GGGUCUGUGGUCUAGGGGUAUGACACUCCCUUAGCAUCUACCUGUCCAAUAGGGAGAGCUUGCAAUGUGGGAGAGGUCCCGGGUUCAAUUCCCGGCGGAUCCA
Phyllosticta citrichinensis is the source of this 103-nucleotide non-coding RNA. Lineage: Eukaryota; Fungi; Ascomycota; Dothideomycetes; Botryosphaeriales; Phyllostictaceae. The record is from the annotation of a GenBank genome assembly.